AUACGUAGGUGACAAGCGUUAUCCGGAUUUACUGGGCGUAAAGGGCGUGUAGGCGGUCUUGCAAGUCAGAAGUGAAAUUCCUGAGCUCAACUCGGGCGCUGCUUCUGAAACUGCAGGACUUGAGUGCUGGAGGGGAUAGCGGAAUUCCUAGUGGAGCGGUAAAAUGCGCAGAUAUUAGGAAGAACACCGGUGGCGAAGGCGGCUAUCUGGACAGUAACUGACGCUGAGGCGCGAAAGCGUGGGGAACAAACAGGAUUAGAUACCCUGGUAGUCCACGCCGUAAACGAUGAAUUCUAGGUGUAGGGGGUAUCGACUCCCUCUGUGCCGCAGUUAACACAAUAAGUAUUCCGCCUGGGGAGUACGGCCGCAAGGUUGAAACUCAAAUGAAUUGGCGGGG
RNAcentral lists this ribosomal RNA (397 nucleotides) under uncultured bacterium. Its description in RNAcentral is "partial 16S ribosomal RNA". It matches the Rfam family "Bacterial small subunit ribosomal RNA", at positions 523 to 918 of the family's 1533-position model. The record is from RNAcentral.